GCAGCUAGUUUUUGUCCGACCGGAAACCCGCAACUGACUUGUAAUCAGUAGGUCCCGGGUUCGACUCCUGGUGUCGGCACCA
RNAcentral lists this transfer RNA (82 nucleotides) under Halomonas cupida. Its description in RNAcentral is "tRNA_Pseudo_TGT". It matches the Rfam family "tRNA", at positions 10 to 71 of the family's 71-position model. Rfam says of the family: Transfer RNA (tRNA) molecules are approximately 80 nucleotides in length. Lineage: Bacteria; Pseudomonadati; Pseudomonadota; Gammaproteobacteria; Oceanospirillales; Halomonadaceae. The record is from RNAcentral.